Molecule: ribosomal RNA, 135 nt
Filed under: bacterium 081656
Lineage: Bacteria
Description: partial 16S rRNA
Rfam family: Bacterial small subunit ribosomal RNA
Source: RNAcentral
UGGGGAAUAUUGGACAAUGGGCGCAAGCCUGAUCCAGCCAUGCCGCGUGAGUGAUGAAGGCCUUCGGGUCGUAAAGCUCUUUUACCAGGGAUGAUAAUGACAGUACCUGGAGAAUAAGCUCCGGCUAACUCCGUG